AUUGAACGCUGGCGGCAUGCCUUACACAUGCAAGUCGAACGGUAACAGGUUAAGCUGCCGAGUGGCGAACGGGUGAGUAAUGUAUCGGAACGUGCCCAGUCGUGGGGGAUAACUGCUCGAAGGAGCAGCUAAUACCGCAUACGACCUGAGGGUGAAAGCGGGGGAUCGCAAGACCUCGCGCGAUUGGAGCGGCCGAUAUCCGAUUAGGUAGUUGGUGAGGUAAAGGCUCACCAAGCCGACGAUCUGUAGCUGGUCUGAGAGGACGACCAGCCACACUGGGACUGAGACACGGCCCAGACUCCUACGGGAGGCAGCAGUGGGGAAUUUUGGACAAUGGGCGCAAGCCUGAUCCAGCCAUGCCGCGUGCGGGAAGAAGGCCUUCGGGUUGUAAACCGCUUUUGUCAGGGAAGAAAAGGUUCUGGCUAAUACCUGGGACUCAUGACGGUACCUGAAGAAUAAGCACCGGCUAACUACGUG
This 477-nucleotide ribosomal RNA is filed under the name uncultured bacterium. RNAcentral's name for it is "partial 16S ribosomal RNA". It matches the Rfam family "Bacterial small subunit ribosomal RNA", at positions 30 to 507 of the family's 1533-position model. The record is from RNAcentral.